GACGAACGCUGGCGGCGUGCCUAAUACAUGCAAGUCGAACGAAGCUUUUUUAACUGGUGCUUGCACCGACUUAAACAACUGAGUGGCGAACGGGUGAGUAACACGUGGGUAACCUGCCCCAAAGCGGGGGAUAACAUUUGGAAACAGAUGCUAAUACCGCAUAACCACAGAAACCACAUGGUUUCUGUGUCAAAGAUGGUUUCGGCUAUCACUUUGGGAUGGACCCGCGGCGUAUUAGCUAGUUGGUAAGGUAAUGGCUUACCAAGGCAAUGAGACGGAGCCGAACUGAGAGGUUGAGCGGCCAAAUUGGGACUGCGACACGGCCCAAACUCCUACGGGAGGCAGCAGUAGGGAAUCUUCCACAAUGGACGAAAGUCUGAUGGAGCAACGCCGCGUGAGUGAAGAAGGUUUUCGGAUCGUAGAACUCUGUUGUCAGAGAAGAACGUGUGCGAGAGUAACUGUUCGUGCAGUGACGGUAUCUGGCCAGAAAGCCACGGCUAACUACGUGCCAGCAGCCGCGGUAA
Molecule: ribosomal RNA, 524 nt
Filed under: uncultured bacterium
Lineage: Bacteria
Description: partial 16S ribosomal RNA
Rfam family: Bacterial small subunit ribosomal RNA
Source: RNAcentral